AAGUCGUAACAAGGUUUCCGUAGGUGAACCUGCGGAAGGAUCAUUAAUGAAAUGUUUGUCGAGAAGGGUUGUAGCUGGCCUCCAGGGGCAUGUGCACACCCUGAUCACAUCCACCUCCCACACCUGUGCACCGCCUGUAGCUUGGGAUGAUCACGGAGCCCUGAUGGGCAACGAAGGCCCUCGUCUAUGAAUAUUUUUACAAACGCUCAAAGUAUGACAGAAUGUAUAUCAUAUUGCGUCUGAUAAACGUGACAAAUACAACUUUCAACAACGGAUCUCUUGGCUCUC
This 288-nucleotide unclassified non-coding RNA is filed under the name Tomentellopsis sp. Its description in RNAcentral is "partial contains small subunit ribosomal RNA, internal transcribed spacer 1, and 5.8S ribosomal RNA". The stretch from base 1 to 46 matches the Rfam family "Eukaryotic small subunit ribosomal RNA", at positions 1786 to 1831 of the family's 1831-position model. Lineage: Eukaryota; Fungi; Basidiomycota; Agaricomycetes; Thelephorales; Thelephoraceae. The record is from RNAcentral.